Molecule: ribosomal RNA, 460 nt
Filed under: uncultured bacterium
Lineage: Bacteria
Description: partial 16S ribosomal RNA
Rfam family: Bacterial small subunit ribosomal RNA
Source: RNAcentral
CCUACGGGAGGCAGCAGUGAGGAAUAUUGGUCAAUGGACGAAAGUCUGAACCAGCCAAGUAGCGUGAAGGAUGACUGCCCUAUGGGUUGUAAACUUCUUUUAUAAAGGAAUAAAACGAGGCACGUGUGCCUUUUUGCAUGUACUUUAUGAAUAAGGAUCGGCUAACUCCGUGCCAGCAGCCGCGGUAAUACGGAGGAUCCGGGCGUUAUCCGGAUUUAUUGGGUUUAAAGGGAGCGUAGAUGGGUUGUUAAGUCAGUUGUGAAAGUUUGCGGCGCAACCGUAAAAUUGCAAUUGAUACUGGCAGUCUUGAGUACAGUUGAGGUAGGCGGAAUUCGUGGUGUAGCGGUGAAAUGCUUAGAUAUCACGAAGAACCCCGAUUGCGAAGGCAGCUUACUAAACUGUGACUGACAUUGAUGCUCGAAAGUGUGGGUAGCAAACAGGAUUAGAUACCCUUGUAGUC